Molecule: ribosomal RNA, 245 nt
Filed under: uncultured Rickettsia sp.
Lineage: Bacteria; Pseudomonadati; Pseudomonadota; Alphaproteobacteria; Rickettsiales; Rickettsiaceae
Description: partial 16S ribosomal RNA
Rfam family: Bacterial small subunit ribosomal RNA
Source: RNAcentral
UACAGAGGGGGCUAGCGUUGUUCGGAAUUACUGGGCGUAAAGAGCGCGUAGGCGGUCUACCAAGUUGGAAGUGAAAUCCCGAGGCUUAACCUCGGAACUGCUUUCAAAACUGGUAAACUAGAGAUCAGUAGAGGAUGGUGGAAUUCCUAGUGUAGAGGUGAAAUUCUUAGAUAUUAGGAGGAACACCGGUGGCGAAGGCGGCCAUCUGGGCUGCAUCUGACGCUGAGGCGCGAAAGCGUGGGGAG